This is a non-coding RNA of Alligator mississippiensis (American alligator), 46 nucleotides long. The record is from Rfam. NCBI's taxonomy places the organism in Eukaryota, Metazoa, Chordata, Crocodylia, Alligatoridae.
AAACAGGACUUUUUAAAGUCCAUUCCUAUUUAGAAAUGGACAGGGG